Molecule: long non-coding RNA, 557 nt
Filed under: Mus musculus (house mouse)
Lineage: Eukaryota; Metazoa; Chordata; Mammalia; Rodentia; Muridae
Description: long non-coding RNA chr3:95530417-95530974
Source: RNAcentral
AAAGGAGAUCCUAAGAAGCCGAGAAGCAAAAUGUCCUCAUAUGCAUUCUUUGUGCAAACUUGCCGGGAGGAGCACAAGAAAAAGCACCCGGAUGCUUCUGUCAACUUCUCAGAGUUCUCCAAGAAGUGCUCAGAGAGGUGGAAGACCAUGUCUGCUAAAGAAAAGGGGAAAUUUGAAGACAUGGCAAAGGCUGACAAGGCUCGUUAUGAAAGAGAAAUGAAAACCUACAUCCCCCCAAAGGGGAGACCAAAAAGAAGUUCAAGGACCCCAAUGCACCCAAGAGGCCUCCUUCAGCCUUCUUCUUGUUCUGUUCUGAGUACCACCCCAAAAUCAAAGGCGAGCAUCCUGGCUUAUCCAUUGGUGAUGUUGCAAAGAAACUAGGAGAGAUGUGGAACAACACUGCAGCAGAUGACAAGCAGCCCUAUGAGAAGAAAGCUGCCAAGCUGAAGGAGAAGUAUGAGAAGGAUAUUGCUGCCUACAGAGCUAAAGGAAAACCUGAUGCAUCGAAAAAGGGGGUGGUCAAGGCUGAGAGAGCAAGAAAAAGAAGGAAGAGGAAG